RNAcentral lists this ribosomal RNA (423 nucleotides) under uncultured Glomeromycotina. Its description in RNAcentral is "SSU rRNA". It matches the Rfam family "Eukaryotic small subunit ribosomal RNA", at positions 671 to 1092 of the family's 1831-position model. The record is from RNAcentral. Lineage: Eukaryota; Fungi; Glomeromycota.
CGGUACGUACUGGCAUUGUUGGUUUCUCCCUUCUGACGAACCAUGAUGUCACUUAUUUGGUGUUGUGGGGAAUCAGGACUGUUACUUUGAAAAAAUUAGAGUGUUUAAAGCAGGCUCACGCUUGAAUACAUUAGCAUGGAAUAAUGAAAUAGGACGUUUGAUUCUAUUUUGUUGGUUUCUAGGAUCGACGUAAUGAUUAAUAGGGAUAGUUGGGGGCAUUAGUAUUCAAUUGUCAGAGGUGAAAUUCUUGGAUUUAUUGAAGACUAACUACUGCGAAAGCAUCUGCCAAGGAUGUUUUCAUUAAUCAAGAACGAAAGUUAGGGGAUCGAAGACGAUCAGAUACCGUCGUAGUCUUAACCAUAAACUAUGCCGACUAGGGAUCGGAUGAUGUUAAUUUUUUAAUGACUCAUUCGGCGCCUUACG